GUGUUGUAUGAAAGGAGAGAAGGUUAGCAUUCCCCUUGACAAGGAUGGAAGAGGCCCUUGGGCCUGACAACACGCAUACGGUUAAGGCAUUGCCAUCUACUUCGUGGCAUCUAAUAUCGUUUUUUU
Molecule: small nuclear RNA, 126 nt
Organism: Dipodomys ordii (Ord's kangaroo rat)
Lineage: Eukaryota; Metazoa; Chordata; Mammalia; Rodentia; Heteromyidae
Source: Ensembl